GAUGAACGCUGGCGGCGUGCCUAAUACAUGCAAGUCGAGCGAACAGACGAGGAGCUUGCUCCUUUGACGUUAGCGGCGGACGGGUGAGUAACACGUAGGUAACCUACCUAUAAGACUGGGAUAACUUCGGGAAGCCGGAGCUAAUACCGGAUAAUAUUUCGAACCGCAUGGUUCGAUAGUGAAAGAUGGCUUUGCUAUCACUUAUAGAUGGACCUGCGCCGUAUUAGCUAGUUGGUAAGGUAACGGCUUACCAAGGCAACGAUACGUAGCCGACCUGAGAGGGUGAUCGGCCACACUGGAACUUAGACACGGUCCAGACUCCUACGGGAGGCAGCAGUAGGGAAUCUUCCGCAAUGGGCGAAAGCCUGACGGAGCAACGCCGCGUGAGUGAUGAAGGUCUUCGGAUCGUAAAACUCUGUUAUUAGGGAAGAACAAACGUGUAAGUAACUGUGCACGUCCUGACGGUACCUAAUCAGAAAGCCACGGCUAACUACGUG
This 497-nucleotide ribosomal RNA is filed under the name uncultured bacterium. Its description in RNAcentral is "partial 16S ribosomal RNA". It matches the Rfam family "Bacterial small subunit ribosomal RNA", at positions 28 to 507 of the family's 1533-position model. The record is from RNAcentral.